AUUCCUUUAGUUUAUUAAUAAAAUAUAACUCUGAAGAAGUUAAGAAUGUUUGGGAAUG
RNAcentral lists this transfer RNA (58 nucleotides) under Oscheius chongmingensis. RNAcentral describes it as "tRNA-Phe". The record is from RNAcentral. Lineage: Eukaryota; Metazoa; Nematoda; Chromadorea; Rhabditida; Rhabditidae.